UGCCUCAAUCGCUCUCAAUUCGACGACGGCUUCUAGCUCUAAUAAAGAAAUAUUGGGCAUGUUGGGGCUUAUAUUUCAAAAGCAAUGUAGCUUGGAAUCACGAUUAGACAGGCUGGGAGAAAACAUGGUUCCGAAAACUGACGUCUUGGUUCACCAUAAGACUUUAAGGGAGUCGAAAGUCCUCGCCAAAAAGGCCCACC
Molecule: long non-coding RNA, 200 nt
Organism: Rhagoletis pomonella (apple maggot)
Lineage: Eukaryota; Metazoa; Arthropoda; Insecta; Diptera; Tephritidae
Exons: 3
Source: RefSeq, a predicted model, not a curated record